UGAAUGGAAGGCCCGUGUGCGUGUUGGUUUCUGGAAUGAAAGCCGCGGUCUGGCUUCUCUGUAAUUGCUGUCAGGUCUUAAGCAAUCCUCUGUUCAGAAAUCUCCUUAUAAUGCAGCCGUGAAAAUUGUUACCAAGCAACCAAGCGGUCCAGAGCGCCGAGCAUCCAGGAGUGGCUGGCGGGAAGACCCUCCCGGCAGGGUGGCGGCCGUGCCUGCCCCAAAGUGCCACGUGAUGUCACCUGCUCCACGGCCAGCAGCAGAGUCGGAACAAUGGGUCUUCGUGGGCAGCCCGUCCCUCCCGUGGAGCGCGUGGCCGAGGAGGGGUCCGAGGAAGGGCUGUAGGUGAAAAUCCAUCGUUAGGAGGAGGCGCAUCCGAGGAAGGGCUCCUGGGCUCCUGAGGACCCCGGAGCCUCCCUCCAUCUGCUCUCUCCUCCGCACUCCCAGGCGUCUCUAACCUGCAGGCCUCCUGGGGGACGACGUGUUUGCUUUGGCCCAUAAAUCAGUCCCACGGAUCACUUCGGGAAUCGUUAGGCUUUAUCAUGACGCGUUGCCACCUUUGAGGGAAUAAUUGCCCAGUUUGGCCAACUUGGGACCUGCUUCCUUCAUCUUAAUUUCCUCUCUGGGGAUGCCCUAAUUAGUAUUUACUUUCACUUAAAAGAGAGAAAUUUCUUCUGAUGCAAUCAACAGUUUCCCUUGCGUGCCAAGCUUGUUUUAUGAUAUUAAGCAUUUAAAUAAAAAAUUAUAAACGUACCGUGAAAUGCUGAUGGGG
This 769-nucleotide long non-coding RNA is filed under the name Canis lupus familiaris (dog). RNAcentral's name for it is "lncRNA (ENSCAFG00030020792.1)". The record is from RNAcentral. Lineage: Eukaryota; Metazoa; Chordata; Mammalia; Carnivora; Canidae.